Molecule: non-coding RNA, 7340 nt
Organism: Bactrocera oleae (olive fruit fly)
Lineage: Eukaryota; Metazoa; Arthropoda; Insecta; Diptera; Tephritidae
Source: RefSeq, a predicted model, not a curated record
GUUGUCAAAGUUGUAUGGAUGAAAGUGAGGUGGAAACAUCUAGGCACUUUCUCCUUCAUUGUCCAGCCUGUGCAAGACUGAGGUAGAAACAUCUUGACUUGCAGUAUGCCUUACGCCGUUUGGGAAAUCGUUUUAAUAAUAUCUAAUCUAAUUUUUAAUGUGUCUUCUUAUGUCUUUUUACACUUUAUAUGACUGUAUCGCUAAGUAAUUUAAAAAGUGUAAGCACCUGUAUGUCACAUUUCAUAUGCACAAAAGCCGAUUUGUUUAUUCCAUAACACUGCGUAACAUUAAAGGUACUCCUUAAAGCAAGCUAUCAUUUAGGCAAUCGAUUGGAAAAUUACACCUCUCAAGCGAAAGUAAUUCAUAAAUAAAGCAGUGAACAACUGCCUUUCAACUUAAGUGCAAACAUGUACAAAAUACCACCUAAAUAACACAUAACUGUUAAUAUAUGUACUAUAUAUUCGUCAUACCUAUUUAUGUAGUCUGGUAACGAUUUUGACUACAUGCUAUUUUUAAACUUAUUCAUAACAGAAACUGCCCGAGUAAUGUAAAAUAUGAAUAAUAUAACAUACAUUUUGGUUUAUAUGUGAUCUGUAUAUAUAUUUAGAUAUGAAAUUGGUAUACAUAAGUGGCUAUUUUGCAAAAAUGUCAAGAUAUUUGAAAACUCUGUAAUUAUAUAAAUUUCAGUUUUUGUUUUAAUUGAAUAUAACAUAGAUACCAUAUGCGCAUCCGACUGUAUGUAUGUAUGCUUGUACCCAUAGAUAACUUUAUUGCGAUAAAUAAUUUCUAGUUUAAAUAUUUAGCGAAAUGUGUAAAUAAAACUAUACAUAUGCCAAACUAUUUCAUUUCUUAUUCCAUAGUACGAAAUUAAAAUAAUGUAUGUACUUAUAUAUGCAGAUCCGUAUACAGAUUCACGCAUACGCAUUUGUUCAUUUGUUUAAUUGCUGGAAAUAAGUGUUUACAUACAUACAUACACAUGACCCUCAGUGCAGAUGCCGAGAAGAAUUUUUCUCUAUUUUUGACGUUAAGAAAGCAUACAUUUUGUUUUUGUUAAAAGGUGUUCUGGUUCAAAAUUAAAAUUCUAAAAUAUAUGUACUGUGAAAAUCACGGUAAUCGAAACAAUAACAACCUGUCGAAUGUAUACAUGUGUGCGUGUGAUUGUAGGUGUAUAAGAGUCAAAAUAAUUUUCCUUAUGUAGGUGCACAUUCAUGUACAUAAUACGUAUGUAAACACUUACGUAAGUAUUUCGUUAGUAAACUUAUGUCUUGCACAUUCGCCCCAAAAAAUCAUUUGCAACCGAAAAUUCCUCUCCACCACGAUUUCGUUUUAGUUUUUGUUUUAAUUUUUCCAUGACCAUCAUCUAUACAAAUUCAAUCAAUAUCUAUCAGUUCAACAAUGUUUUGAGAGCAUUUUAGUUUACGUACAUAUGUAUGCGGAUUGUGUGAUUGGAGAAUUCGUACGUAUCCGAAAUUGCCGCAAAUCGGAUUCAACAAGAAUACAUAGUAUCCGGCAUUCUGUUGACCUGAAACUUUCGUUCAAUUUUCCGUGGCAUUGCUCCAGCAGGUAGUAGAAGUUUAUUUUCUGAUCGACCACCACAUGUUUUCGAAGACAAAUACCAUAGAAAUAAAACAGAUGUAGUCGAAUCUAUAAACAUACUUACAUUAUGUUUGUAACGCUUAUAUUUAUAAAUAUGGUGGCAAAAAUCAUCAAAGUAUCCCUAAUGAUACUUGUAUAAGCAAUGCUAAAUUCAGCAUUCUAUGAAAGGACAGUAAUUCACAUCGCUAUGCUUUUGAAAAUUUCAGAGCGUUUCCAAAUAACCAUAUUAUAUAAUAUGUGCCCUGCAGGAAUAUACAAACUAGCAAAGUUCGAAGUUGUCAUGUGGACGAAAGUCGUUAAGGUUCAGAACAGAUGCAUUUUCUAAAUUAGAAAGGUUUCAUUAUAUUCAUAUUUGUAUAUGUAUGUAAAGAAAUUAAUUCAUACUCAGAGAAAUAUUAGUAAAACUUCGUUUAUGCACUGCAUUUAUAAAUUUCUUUUGAAGAGUUCGGUUGUAAAAACAUUUAGAACUGUAUUAUGUAAAUAUUCGAACAAAAUUAUAAUUUUAUAUGCUUAGAUGAUAUUAGCUUUGAAUUUAUUGAGCAUUUCUACAGAUCGCAGGAAGACAUUUAGAUUUUUUAUGUUCUACCGGAGCACGCGCGCGGAUUAAUCUACAAGUAUUUGUGUAUAGAAACAUGUCCAUUGGUAGAUAAAAGGGAUUACAUAUGUGUAAGACUAAACUGAACAGCUAAGCAAGGUCCAGAUUAGCAUCAAAGCUCUCAAAAUUCGAUCCUGUAUGAUUUCAUAUUAGUAAAAAUUGUAGAAAUCUUUACAUGUCAGAUUUAGAACGCCUCCAUAUUUUUACCUUAGCGGAAAGUAAUUUGUUAAUUUUCUACUUCAGUAAGUUUUUCAAUUUACUAUUUAAAUAACAAGCUUUAUUCGAUAUUACUCUUAACACGAUAAGCUACUGAUACAUAAAUAGGUACACGUAUACUUUUGUUGCCCUCUAUUUUUGUGUGCGUUGUAUAUACUAUAUACGUAUGUAUGUAAGAAUAUGAUUAAUAUAUUAGGAAUUCUACAAUUAAUUUUAGACUUAAGUACGGAUCGAUUUCAUCAAUUUUGUCAACCCAAUUUAAUGUAUCCUGAAUAUAUCCUCAAAAAGAUAACAGCCGAAUUAUGGAUACAAGUGAGCACGAAUUGAGUGAUAUUAUUGAGAUUAUAUCGCCCGAAUUGGAUGAUAUUUCAUCCUCUUCCAAACCUUAUCUUCGCGUUGUAGAACAGCCUUCAAGAAAACCGAUGAGAUUUCGGUACAAUAGUGAAGGUCGUACAGCCGGAAAUAUACCUGGUGAGAAUUCAUUUCAGGAAACCAAAACAUUUCCUACUGUCGAAGUCGUAGGCUACGAAGGAAAAGCGCGAAUUCUGGUGUCUUGUGUUACAAAGGAUAAGCCUUUUCGACAACAUCCACAUCAGUUGGUAGGUCAGGAGUGUAAACAUGGUUAUUGUAUUAGAUAUGUUGGACCCGAUACACCACUACGUGUCGAACUCAGUAAUAUUGGAAUACGAUGUGUAAAGAAAAAAGAAAUUUCGGAGUCUUUAGAGAAGCGAAAAAAUAGGAAAAUUGACCCUUUCAAGACUGGGUUUGAUCACAUAACUGAUCCGAACUCAAUUGAAUUGAAUUCAUUACGUUUGUGCUUUCAAGGCUUUAUAAAAGUUGGGAACGGUUGGAAAGCGCUGAGCCCAGUGGUUUCGGAACCUCUCUAUGACCGAAAAGCAAAAAGUGAAUUGCUUAUUAGUCGCCUUUGUAGCUGCGCAGCCACUAUUGAUGGAGGAGAUGAAAUAAUUUUGCUCUGUUCGCAAGUCAAUAAAGAUGAUGUGAAAAUUCGCUUCAAAGCGAUCGAUAACAAUCGCGAAGUUUGGCAUGCAUACGCCGAUUUCGAACCGUCCAAUGUACAUAAACAGACAGCAAUUGUAUUUCGCACACCACGCUAUCCUCAGGCGGAUUUGCCAAAAACUGCCAAAACAUACAUUGAGUUGGAAAGACCCAGUCUGGAUAAACGGAGUGACGCUUUGGAGUUCGUGUUUCAUGAUCCAGGUACGCUAUCCUUUGCCAGUAUGCGCCGCAAACUUAAGCGAAAACAAGAAGUGGAUAUAUUUCAACAUAUAUUGUCCAUGGAUAGUGAAACGACUGCAACAAAAUACUCUUGCCCCCCUUCUGAUAUUGAUUUCGAUUUGGAUGAUAUUGCUACCUUAUCAACAGAAUGCACCGAGAGUGCCGUUAGCAAGCAACAUAGUUUAGAUACACUUAAUGAAACCGAAAGUAUAGCUCGGUGCAAAAGAGAAAGUAUUACCGACGCUGAUGAAGAUAUUAAAUUUUAUAGACCCAAUGAUAUUGAAUACGACUUCGAAGCGCCAACCAUGAAUUGUCAAGCUGUGGAUACAGACACUCAAACAUCGACACCAAUUGAUCAAAUACUUAAUCCAUCACAGAUCGAAUCGCGUUCAUUAUCCGCAGUCGAUAAAAUCACUGAAUGGAUGUGCUCUAAUGAGUUCGAACGAACCGAUAGCUUAACAGUUGAGAACGGUGAUACAACUUCAAUCAGUCCAAUAACAGUAUAUACCAACAUGGCAAGUUUAUCAACCAACCACACGACUAUAUCGACUGCUACUGACGACGACAAAACCAUUACUGAUCAAAUGGAUCAAGUGCCCGAACUCGAUGACAUGAUUACAGAAACAAAAUCUCGACGGGGCACAUUUGACAGCCCUAUGAUACAGAACUUGUCGUUAGGUGGGUCACCGAUUUUCGACAAUAAAUCAAUUGAAACAAUGGUAGAGGUGGUCAACACAAGAGGAAAGGAGAGUUUUGAUGAGGCCUCAACAUAUACAAAUUUACAAAUUACUGUAAAAAAUCCAUUUUCCAUUGAUUAUUUAGACACAAAAACGCUUGGAGGAGUUACCAAUGACGAACUUGGCAUGGUGGUAUUAAAAAAUCCCCCUGCACCGAAAAUACGCGUAAAUGUUGCCCAAACGCCUCCAUCACCAUCUUCUCCCCCACUACCUUUACCACCACGUACACCCUCUCCCGGUCCUGAACAAAGCCUUCCUCCAAUUCCACCGAAAAGAAAAACAUCACAAGAACUCUGUACAAACUCAUCGGUUACACAUGAUUCCUUAGAACUUUCUCGCACGAAUAGUGUGUCCUCACGACAUCCGUCACAAAUAAUCAUUAUGCGAACACCAGAUCAAAGUCCAACCAAACGACAAACUACACUCACUUCAUCACCAAAGAAACGUCAAGGAUUUUUCUCUCGACUUUUUUCACGACGCAAAAGUAAAACUGAAAUAAUGACUAACGAUAAAUCCAUAAAAAAUCAAUCAAACAAAGUGACAACACUUUUUGACAGUAGGGAGCUUAGUAUUGGAAACUUUUCUAUCGGGGAACCAAAUCGGUGCUCCCUACGCUCGAUUAAUUCUGCGACGCUACAAGUUAAUUCCAACUAUUUAGAUUCCCACAACAACGUUGCUGAACGAAAUGAGAGCAAUAGAAAUGGUAAACCGGUUGGUCGCAGUGUAAGUAGUAUUUCUGGCAAGAGACCGGCAUAUUUAAAUACAGACGUAGUUCAUAUCCCUCUAAAAGGUGAAAACGCUAAAAGUUUACCCUCCAACGAAGGUAAAGCUUUCACUUUUGGUCAAUAUUUGGACCGAAGAACUCUUAGUGCUCUUCAAUUAGCCGAAAUACCCGUUUGUGAUGGGAAGAUGGAACUAUUAGCUAUUGCCGAUAGACAAAGCAUAAAAAAUCUAUGCGAAGGGGAAUUCGGUGUCACACUCGAUGCGGAGGUAGACUUGCAGGAGGCCGAACACUUUGCACUAUAUACGAGUAUACCACCAGAGCGUCAAUUCACUGCAAAUAGUUCCGAUAUUGAGUUGAAAAUCUGCACAUCUAUGGACGAUGUACAAGUAAUAACAGCUGACGAAAUCGCCAAACGACUGAAUGAAGCAAAUAGAAUGCCAAUUUUUUAAUAUUUAUUCACUAAUUUUUAAUUUAGGGAAUGGCAGUGAAAAUAGUACAUAUGUAUGUAUAUGUAUAUGCAUAUGUAUAUUUUUUCAAGAUCUGAGAAGAUUCAUAUUAAACCCCUUUUAAAGAUUCGAGAUGUCUCAUAUAUUUCCAUUAUAGAUCGUUAUAAAAGAGAAAGAAAACGUCGGAAGAUUAGUGGAGAAAGUCUCAUAAACCAGAUGAACAGAGAUAUGGGCUUAAACUUAAAUUAUCAAAGCAUUUCAAUGAAUAAUACUUUCAACUUGCCUGUCACCACAGUCACACACAACUACCAAAUGCCACCGCUGUCACAGUUAUCGCCAAUACCACCACAAAAUUGUAAUGCAACACCAUCGCCGAUCACCCCUUCUUCCAAGUAUGCAGAUCAACUAAGCACACUAAUUCAGGAUACUACUUGUACAAAUCAGGCAGCAAGUUGUCAAACGCUUCAUACCAUAUUAAAUGAUCGAAAAAAGCAAGAACUUGACUACAACACCAUAGGCAACGUUAACGUUUACAAUGACAACACAAAUUACCAAAUUACGAACGGCCACUAUUUAGGUACUGUCCGUAACACUACCAGCGGUGGUUACUUUCAACCUAUUAAAGAAAAAAUUGAAAUGGAUACCAAAUGUGACUUAUCUGCAAUGAAUAAUAUUUUCAAUUUGCCUGUAAUCUCAACAACACCACCACAUCCAGAUAUCAAAGAUGAGCCAAUAGGAGCUGCAAUGCCAAUAAAGUUUACAGCAGUUGAGCAACAUUUUGAUCCAUACAGAAGCAACUACCUAAUGUCACCGCAGUCACAGUUGUCGCCAAUGUCACCACAAAAUCGUAAUGCAACACCGUCGCCGAUCUCACCUUCCCCCAACGGUGCUUAUACGGACCAAUUGUGCACACUAAUGCAGGAUAGCACAAUUGAGACAACAAAAUGUCAAACGCUUGAUGCCAUAUUUAAUGGUCGGGAAAACCAAGAAUUCGACUACAACGCCAGAGGCAACAUUAACGCCUACAAUGACAACACAAAUUACCAAAUUACGAACGGACAUUAUUUUGGUACUGUACGUAACACUACCAGUGGUGGUUACUUUGAACGUAUUAACAAUACCGCAGGAGUAUGUACCCCUGCGAUACAUAAUGUACAGGUUACAGAGCAACAGCUCCAAAAUUCUAUUUCGGAUAAGGAAGAGAUUGAAAGAAUUAUAUUGGAUCUCAUGCAAACGCCUAUGACGCAAUCGCCUGCUCAACUAACUGAUCCCAAGCAAAACAAUUGCCAAGACAAUGCAAAUAUCGAUUUUUUUAAAUAAUUAUCACAAAUAUAAUGAGAUAAGAAAAUUUGUUCCUGGGGUUAGAUUUAAAAUCUUUCUCUAGUUUUUUACAUUUAAAAGUUGACCGGUUAGAAUUAGUAAUUUUCUUAUAAACAUAUGUAUAUAUCAAUUUAUUGUAAGAUUCGAACAAUACAUUUAAGUAUACUUCAGAACUUAACUUAAUGAAAACAAACAUAUAUUUUAUUAAGUAUAGAUAAAACCUCUGUAGUUGAUAUAGAGUUAAUAUGCAGACUAGGGGUUUGGCUUCCAACAUAAAGAUGAUAUCGAAAGACAACAAUAAAGCAAGAGAAAUGUGAAUAAAGUUAUUUAUUUGUAUAUAAGUACAAAUAUUCAACAUUUUCAUGAUCAUUUAGUGAACCUUUUUACACUUUAAUUUGAUUGCAAAUCUCAUGAUAAAUUUUAAUUUACUAAUUAAAUAUAACUGGUAUACGAUAAUUUUGCAUUAUGAA